RNAcentral lists this ribosomal RNA (497 nucleotides) under uncultured bacterium. Its description in RNAcentral is "partial 16S ribosomal RNA". It matches the Rfam family "Bacterial small subunit ribosomal RNA", at positions 28 to 507 of the family's 1533-position model. The record is from RNAcentral.
GAUGAACGCUGGCGGCGUGCCUAAUACAUGCAAGUCGAGCGAACGGACGAGAAGCUUGCUUCUCUGAUGUUAGCGGCGGACGGGUGAGUAACACGUGGAUAACCUACCUAUAAGACUGGGAUAACUUCGGGAAACCGGAGCUAAUACCGGAUGAUAUUUUGAACCGCAUGGUUCAAAAGUGGAAGACGGUCUUGCUGUCACUUAUAGAUGGAUCCGCGCUGCAUUAGCUAGUUGGUAAGGUAACGGCUUACCAAGGCAACGAUGCAUAGCCGACCUGAGAGGGUGAUCGGCCACACUGGAACUGAGACACGGUCCAGACUCCUACGGGAGGCAGCAGUAGGGAAUCUUCCGCAAUGGGCGAAAGCCUGACGGAGCAACGCCGCGUGAGUGAUGAAGGUCUUCGGAUCGUAAAACUCUGUUAUUAGGGAAGAACAUAUGUGUAAGUAACUGUGCACAUCUUGACAGUACCUAAUCAGAAAGCCACGGCUAACUACGUG